This 348-nucleotide unclassified non-coding RNA is filed under the name soil metagenome. RNAcentral's name for it is "partial contains 5.8S ribosomal RNA, internal transcribed spacer 2, and large subunit ribosomal RNA". The stretch from base 1 to 120 matches the Rfam family "5.8S ribosomal RNA", at positions 35 to 154 of the family's 154-position model. The record is from RNAcentral.
GAUGAAGAACGCAGCGAAGUGCGAUAAGUAAUGUGAAUUGCAGAAUUCAGUGAAUCAUCGAAUCUUUGAACGCACAUUGCGCCCGCCAGUAUUCUGGCGGGCAUGCCUGUCUGAGCGUCAUUUCAACCCUCAUGCCCCUAGGGCGUGGUGUUGGGGAUCGGCCAAAGCCCGCGAGGGACGGCCGGCCCCUAAAUCUAGUGGCGGACCCGUCGUGGCCUCCUCUGCGAAGUAGUGAUAUUCCGCAUCGGAGAGCGAUGAGCCCCUGCCGUUAAACCCCCAACUUUCCAAGGUUGACCUCAGAUCAGGUAGGAAUACCCGCUGAACUUAAGCAUAUCAAUAAGCGGAGGA